This 253-nucleotide ribosomal RNA is filed under the name uncultured bacterium. RNAcentral's name for it is "partial 16S ribosomal RNA". It matches the Rfam family "Bacterial small subunit ribosomal RNA", at positions 524 to 776 of the family's 1533-position model. The record is from RNAcentral.
UACAGAGGGGGCAAGCGUUGUUCGGAAUUACUGGGCGUAAAGGGCGCGUAGGCGGCCGCCUAAGUCAGACGUGAAAUCCCUCGGCUCAACCGGGGAACUGCGUCUGAUACUGGGUGGCUUGAAUUCGGGAGAGGGAUGCGGAAUUCCAGGUGUAGCGGUGAAAUGCGUAGAUAUCUGGAGGAACACCGGUGGCGAAGGCGGCAUCCUGGGUCGGCAUUGACGCUGAGGAGCGAAAGCCAGGGGAGCAAACGGG